Molecule: ribosomal RNA, 253 nt
Filed under: uncultured bacterium
Lineage: Bacteria
Description: partial 16S ribosomal RNA
Rfam family: Bacterial small subunit ribosomal RNA
Source: RNAcentral
UACGGAGGGUGCAAGCGUUAUCCGGAUUCACUGGGUUUAAAGGGUGCGUAGGUGGGUUGGUAAGUCCGUGGUGAAAUCUCCGAGCUUAACUCGGAAACUGCCGUGGAUACUAUCAAUCUUGAAUACUGUGGAGGUAAGCGGAAUAUGUCAUGUAGCGGUGAAAUGCAUAGAUAUGACUUAGAACACCAAUUGCGAAGGCAGCUUGCUAAACAAAUAUUGACGCUGAGGCACGAAAGCGUGGGGAUCAAACAGG